This 396-nucleotide ribosomal RNA is filed under the name uncultured bacterium. RNAcentral's name for it is "partial 16S ribosomal RNA". It matches the Rfam family "Bacterial small subunit ribosomal RNA", at positions 523 to 918 of the family's 1533-position model. The record is from RNAcentral.
AUACGUAGGGAGCGAGCGUUGUCCGGAAUUACUGGGUGUAAAGGGAGCGUAGGCGGGAGUGCAAGUCAGAUGUGAAAUGCAUGGGCUUAACCCAUGAGCUGCAUUUGAAACUGCAUUUCUUGAGUGAAGUAGAGGUAAGCGGAAUUCCUGGUGUAGCGGUGAAAUGCGUAGAUAUCAGGAGGAACACCGGUGGCGAAGGCGGCUUACUGGGCUUUUACUGACGCUGAGGCUCGAAAGCGUGGGGAGCAAACAGGAUUAGAUACCCUGGUAGUCCACGCUGUAAACGAUGAUUACUAGGUGUGGGGGGACUGACCCCUUCCGUGCCGCAGUUAACACAAUAAGUAAUCCACCUGGGGAGUACGGCCGCAAGGUUGAAACUCAAAUGAAUUGACGGGG